GCACGGCCACCUGACACGAAGAACGUCGGCAGUAAAGGCAUGGAUGGCACCGGACUAACCGAAAGUUCAAUGUUUGUCCCAUGGGUACCUCCUGAUGCGAGCUUUCCAUCUGCUUCCUGCAAAAAACAAGACGGUAGUGCAGACCGAGAAGGAGGACCAUGUUUGAUGAAACCGGACAGUCAUAAAUUAUAGGUCCAACGAAGUGUUAUGUAGGCAAAUGUGCUUCGGGAAGUGCACGAACGCUGUGGAGACCAAGU
Dermacentor silvarum is the source of this 257-nucleotide long non-coding RNA. RefSeq lists it as uncharacterized. The record is from RefSeq and is a predicted model, not a curated record. Lineage: Eukaryota; Metazoa; Arthropoda; Arachnida; Ixodida; Ixodidae. The transcript has 3 exons.